UACGGAGGGUCCAAGCGUUAAUCGGAAUUACUGGGCGUAAAGCGCGCGUAGGCGGCUUGUUAAGUCGGAUGUGAAAGCCCUGGGCUCAACCUGGGAACUGCAUUCGAUACUGGCAAGCUAGAGUAUGAUAGAGGGUGGUAGAAUUUCUAGUGUAGCGGUGAAAUGCGUAGAUAUUAGAAGGAAUACCGGUGGCGAAGGCGACCACCUG
Molecule: ribosomal RNA, 208 nt
Filed under: uncultured bacterium
Lineage: Bacteria
Description: partial 16S ribosomal RNA
Rfam family: Bacterial small subunit ribosomal RNA
Source: RNAcentral